UAGAAGUGAUAAUGUUAAAAUUAGUAAUAAGAGACCACAGCCUCUCUCCCAGCACAAGUGUAAAUCAGAUCGGACACACCACUGAUAAUUAAACAGACCGAAUAAAUGGAGGAAAAACAAAAACAACCCAGAUAACAAGAAAAAAAUGUAUAACAGACUGUUAACCCAACACAGGAGUGCCACAAGGAAAGACUCAAAGGAGAAGAAGGAACUCGGCAAACAUGAACCCCGCCUGUUUACCAAAAACAUCGCCUCUUGCCAACAAUGGAAGUAUUAGAGGUCCCGCCUGCCCUGUGACCACAGUGUUUAACGGCCGCGGUAUCCUGACCGUGCGAAGGUAGCGUAAUCACUUGUCUUUUAAAUGGAGACCUGUAUGAAUGGCAUAACGAGGGUUUAACUGUCUCCUUCCCCAAGUCAAUGAAAUUGAUCUGUCCGUGCAGAAGCGGACAUAAUAACAUAAGACGAGAAGACCCUAUGGAGCUUUAGGCAAAGGACCAUGCAUGUAAAGAAAACACAACUAAUCGAAAGAGACUAAACAAUGUAAAACCAAGUACAAAUGGUACAAAUGCCUUCGGUUGGGGCGACCAUGGGGGAAAAUAAAGCCCCCGAGUGGAAAGGAGCAAUCCUAAGCCAAGAAAGACAUUUCUAAGCAACAGAACAUCUGACCAUCAAUGACCCAGACAAACAAAUCUGAUCAACGAACCAAGUUACCCUAGGGAUAACAGCGCAAUCCUUUCCCAGAGUCCAUAUCGACGAAAGGGUUUACGACCUCGAUGUUGGAUCAGGACAUCCUAAUGGUGCAGAAGCUAUUAAGGGUUCGUUUGUUCAACGAUUAACAGUCCUACGUGAUCUGAGUUCAGACCGGAGUAAUCCAGGUCGGUUUCUAUCUAUGACUACACUUCUUCCUAGUACGAAAGGACCGGAAAAAGGGGGCCAAUAUUAAAAACAAGCCCCAUCUCUACCUGCUGAAAACAAAUAAAACAG
Molecule: ribosomal RNA, 984 nt
Filed under: Chilorhinus suensonii (seagrass eel)
Lineage: Eukaryota; Metazoa; Chordata; Actinopteri; Anguilliformes; Chlopsidae
Description: partial 16S ribosomal RNA
Rfam family: Bacterial large subunit ribosomal RNA
Source: RNAcentral